CAGUCGCCGCGGUAAUACGAAGGGGGCUAGCGUUGUUCGGAAUUACUGGGCGUGAAGCGCACGUAGGCGGAUAUUUAAGUCAGGGGUGAAAUCCCAGAGCUCAACUCUGGAACUGCCUUUGAUACUGGGUAUCUUGAGUAUGAAAGAGGUGAGUGGAAUUCCGAGUGUAGGGGUGAAAUUCGUAGAUAUUCGGAGGAACACCAGUGGCGAAGGCGGCUCACUGGUCCAUUACUGACGCUGAGGUGCGAAAGCGUGGGGAGCAAACAGGAUUAGAUACCCCUGUAGUCCCUGUCUCUUAUAC
RNAcentral lists this ribosomal RNA (301 nucleotides) under uncultured bacterium. RNAcentral describes it as "partial 16S ribosomal RNA". It matches the Rfam family "Bacterial small subunit ribosomal RNA", at positions 509 to 807 of the family's 1533-position model. The record is from RNAcentral.